This 75-nucleotide transfer RNA is filed under the name Macroscelides micus (Etendaka round-eared sengi). Its description in RNAcentral is "tRNA-Leu". It matches the Rfam family "tRNA". From Rfam's summary of the family: Transfer RNA (tRNA) molecules are approximately 80 nucleotides in length. The record is from RNAcentral. Lineage: Eukaryota; Metazoa; Chordata; Mammalia; Macroscelidea; Macroscelididae.
GUUAAGAUGGCAGAGACCGGUAAUUGCGUAAACUUUAAGCCUUUACUAUCAGAGGUUCAAUUCCUCUUCUUAACA